This is a long non-coding RNA of Canis lupus familiaris (dog), 1742 nucleotides long. RefSeq lists it as uncharacterized. Lineage: Eukaryota; Metazoa; Chordata; Mammalia; Carnivora; Canidae. The record is from RefSeq and is a predicted model, not a curated record. The transcript has 3 exons.
UCCGCGAGACCCGGAGGACCCCCUACCUUGCGGGCGAGGGGCGGGGCUGGAGCGGGGGGAGCAGAGGCCUUUCCCGGGGAGGAGGGAGUGUCCUCGGGCGCCGGAUACCUCGUCUCAGCGCAGCCCCCCCAACCUGGGGGGAGGGGACCACCCGGGGCAGAGAGCCUUUGACCCAAUCUAGGGGCGGGGCAGAGGUGACAGCUGUAGCUGGAAAAGGGAAAGGACUUGAGCAAAGGCCAGGGCUGUUGGAGUAACCAAAAAAAGUUCGGUGUCCACCAAAGGACACGGUGUGGGAGUGAGAGGUACAGAGCACUUACUGUGACCCUACCCCUUGCGAAUGUUAGUGCAGCAAAUCUUCAGGACAGCUCUGUGCUGUAGGCUCUGUCCUUAAUGCCAUUUUACAGAUGGGAAAACUGAGCCCUCGAGAGUCCCAUGGGACACCGCGGACAGCCGGCUGCCUGGAGAUGGCAGCCCCAGAAGUGGUGACCAGCCCCCCUGGCCCGCCAGCCACCCUUGGGGCCUUACAGGGGUGUCCCCUGGAAAAGCCGUGACAUCUUCAGCUGCAUACUCGGGACACUGGUCUGCUGGAAGCCUCUGUGGGAUGGGACCACACUGGAGGUCCCUGUGGGUGCCACUCUGUGACUGACCAGGCUGGGAGGGGUCGGGGCCCGCAUCCUGCCCUAGAGGUCAGAAGAGCCCACCAUCAGGGAGGGCCAAGAACGGGGCUACGGGCUGCUGUCCCCGCCGGUGAGCAGAGAGGAGCUGCUGAUUCUGGGCAGGAGAGCAGUGGGUGCUGGAGCUCAGGAGGGUCACUGGAUAGAAACUCUGCGCCCGCCUCGUGGGGACACCAGCUUCAGGGGGUGUGACAUGACACAGGCCGUCAUUUGGGGGGGGGGGUUGUGAUUGUUUUUGCUUUGGCUGAGAACAGAAGAUCGGGCUCAGAAAACCAGCACCAAGCAGACUGAACAGAAGGCACAGGGGGGUGGGGGCGUGUGGGUGGGAGCGGGGCGGGAGUGGCACGUUCCUACCCAGCCUCUCCAGGAGGAGCGGGAUGGAGAGGGAAAGCCCAAGAGGCUGCCUCUCCAUCACGGCUCUGGCAGGUCCCAGCCUUCAGCCUCUGCGACAUCAGCAGACUCCUGGGGCCGGCGCCCGUCCCUUCCUCCAGGACCACGCCGCAGCUGCCACCCCCAUCGUCCACCCAGGAGCCCCCACCUCCCUCCCCACCUGCCGCCUUGAGGACCCGGCUUCCUGCAGGAAAGAGGCAGCGGCCACGGCGGAGGGGCCCUCCCUGGGAAGCCCGUCACUGCCUCAGAUGAAGCGGUCCCCGCUGAGUGCUUUGCCAGGGUCUACGAGGCAAUUCAAGAUGAGAAAUGGCACGGUGGCUUCGGGAAGGCAAAUCAUUCCAACAGCACCUUAAAAACAUCGACAGCAUCAAGCUCUUUGUGUGUGUGUGAAAAUGGGGAAUAUAUUGUUUUUCACUGUUUGGAAGACUGUUUUCUCAUCUUGAAAUCACAAGCUGUUUUCUUCCAGAGAGACUUAUAAAUACAUCCAAUUAUCGACAUUCAAUAUAGGAAAUAAAGUUCUGAAAUGGUUUUCUUCCGCACAUGGGGAGUGGGCCGGCCGGGUUGCGCAGGUGAUAAUGACUUUUAUUUCUUGCAAGUCGAAGCCGUGCCGAGUGGCUGGUCCCGCCACCUUUUAUUGCUUUCACCUUUAUUGCAUUUCCCGUGUUGUGCUGGGCUAUU